UGGGUGGGCAUGGUGGGUCAGACUUGUCAUGCCAGCACUUGGGAAGUAGAAACAGGAGGCUCAUUGAAAGUUCAAGACCAGCCUGGACUAUAAGUGAGACUCUGUCUCAAACAACAAAAAAAGCUAGGCAUGGGACUGGAGAGAUGGCUCAAUGCUUAGGAGCACUGGCUGUUCUUACAGAGGACCUGGGUUCAAUUCCCAGCACCCACAUGGUGCACCUUCUUCUGGCCUCCGUGAGCCCUGCAUGCACAGGUACACUCACACACAUGCAGGCAAAGCACUCAUAUGCAUAAAAUAAAAUUAAAAGUUUUUAAAAACUAGAUGUGAUGGUGCACACCUUUAAUCCCAGCAGGUAGAUCUCUGUGAGUUCAAGGCUAGCCUGAUCUACAUAACAAGUUCCAGGACAGCCAGGCCUAAAGUGGCAGGAUGGCAGGAUCCCAUCAGGCCCCUUGGAAACUCCUCCUCCUUCUGAAGCCAACCCUGAGGGGUGUAACCAUUCGACAAGCUCUGACAAGGACCCUGUGGUGGACAGAGAGAGCAGUCCAGGCUCGGGCAGCAGCCCCUUCCAGCUCAUGGCCUCCUUGGAGGAAGACAUCAUUGACUUGAAGUAGAGUCCGAGUCUCAUCACCAUCUUUAGUUUUAUUACACAGGUUUCUACUCCUCAAACAGCUCCAACGUCAUGUCUCAACAAAAGGCGGCUUCCUGCCAGGCAGCAAUCUAUUGGACCAAACCUGCACCCUCAGCCAAUUUGGGUCACUCACUUUCCAGUGUCUGGUGCCAUCGCUCUCCACCUUGUUUAUUUCCGUUCAAGAAUCAUCAGUCCUCCUGUAAUAAAGGUGGUGGAUUUCAUUGACAUUUUAGAUCAAAACUUUCAAUAAAUCGAAAAAUGUUCAUUCUUAUUUACUGCAACCCCUCUCUUAGAUUUUAAAGAUUUAGAUUGAAAUUGUUUUUUUCAUUACAGUUUUGACUUAUGUCACAUACUUUCUUUUAUAGCAAAAAGCCAUUGCUUUUUAAUUUUAUUAUAAAUACAUUUUCUUUCUGCACUGUUGACCCUGUUGCUGUUUGAAUCCACUGGGAUGGGACCCAGCUGUGCUCCCAGCUGGAGACCCCAGAAAGCUGAAUGGACACAGCUCAAACACUCCUCCUGCCUUCCCCUUCAGUCCAAAACAAG
Molecule: long non-coding RNA, 1171 nt
Filed under: Nannospalax galili (Upper Galilee mountains blind mole rat)
Lineage: Eukaryota; Metazoa; Chordata; Mammalia; Rodentia; Spalacidae
Description: lncRNA (ENSNGAG00000024482.1)
Source: RNAcentral